CAUAAAUUUUAUUUUAGUUUAAAAGUUAGUAACUGUAUUAGAUGUAUAUGAAGUUAAAAUUUAAAAAAUAUUAUAAAAGUUUAACAUCUAAAAUUUUGAAACUAGUGUAAUCUAAUAAAAGAAUUUAUUUUAAUACCAACUAAUUAGGUGCCAGCAGUUGCGGUUAAACCUAAAGUCAACUAACUACACCGUCUAUAUAAAUUAUAUAAAUUAAGAAAGAUAUAUAAAAAUGAAUUUUAAGUAAGUAAAAUUUUUAAAAUUUCAAAAGCUCUUAAUAAUAAAGAUUUAAAUUUCUGUAAAAAACUAGGAUUAGAUACCCUACUAUUUAGAAAAGAUGAUAAUUAAGGUAGUAAAAGAUAGUCUUCAAACUUAAAAAAUUUGGCGGUAGCUUAAUCUAACUAGAGGAAUCUGCCCUAUAAUUGACAAUCCACAAUCUGUUAAAUUUUAAAUAUAUAUAUAUUUAUAUAUCGCUGUUAAAUAUAAAUUAAAAAGUAGUUAUUUAAAAUUUGUUUAAACUCAAAAAAUCAAGUCAACACAUAAUUAUUAGAAAAUGAGGUGGAUUACAUUUAAAUUAAUUUAAUGAUAAACUAGAUAAUAAAAGCUUGAAAAGGAUUUAGAAGUAAAUUUAACCAGGCUGUUUAUUUGAAUUUGUUAUAGGCUAUGUACAAAUCGCCCGUCAUUCUUAUAUAAAUUAAGACAAGUCGUAACAAAGUAAGAUUACUGGAAAGUAAUAUUAGAUUAA
RNAcentral lists this non-coding RNA (742 nucleotides) under Bemisia tabaci. Lineage: Eukaryota; Metazoa; Arthropoda; Insecta; Hemiptera; Aleyrodidae. The record is from RNAcentral.